Molecule: unclassified non-coding RNA, 209 nt
Filed under: Vibrio harveyi
Lineage: Bacteria; Pseudomonadati; Pseudomonadota; Gammaproteobacteria; Vibrionales; Vibrionaceae
Description: partial miscellaneous RNA
Source: RNAcentral
UAGCUCUUUAACAAUUUGGAAAGCUGACAAAACAAACUUUUAAGUUUGUUUGUAAAGUUCUCAAUGUUUGUCUUUACGACAAACACCAAUACAACACAUUCAAGUGUUCUUGGAAUUUGAGUCCGGCAAAAUCGAGUCUGCAUCAUGUAUAAAAAUUGCAGACAACUUUGGUGACUUGUUCAUCAACUCGAAACUCCUUCGGGUUGUAU